This 468-nucleotide ribosomal RNA is filed under the name uncultured bacterium. RNAcentral's name for it is "partial 16S ribosomal RNA". It matches the Rfam family "Bacterial small subunit ribosomal RNA", at positions 28 to 507 of the family's 1533-position model. The record is from RNAcentral.
GACGAACGCUGGCGGCGUGCUUAACACAUGCAAGUCGAACGGAAAGGCCCUGCUUUUGUGGGGUGCUCGAGUGGCGAACGGGUGAGUAACACGUGAGUAACCUGCCCUUGACUUUGGGAUAACUUCAGGAAACUGGGGCUAAUACCGGAUAGGAGCUCCUGCUGCAUGGUGGGGGUUGGAAAGUUUCGGCGGUUGGGGAUGGACUCGCGGCUUAUCCGCUUGUUGGUGGGGUAGUGGCUUACCAGGGCUUUGACGGGUAGCCGGCCUGGGAGGGUGGACGGCCACAUUGGGACUGAGAUACGGCCCAGACUCCUACGGGAGGCAGCAGUGGGGAAUAUUGCACAAUGGGCGGAAGUCUGAUGCAGCAACGCCGCGUGCGGGAUGACGGCCUUCGGGUUGUAAACCGCUUUCGCAUGUGACGAAGCGUGAGUGACGGUAAUGGGUAAAGAAGCACCGGCUAACUACGUG